ACUCCUUCGUAUGCAUUCCUUGGAAAAUCUGAACAAAAUGAGUGAGAACGCUCUACCGUCUCCUCAUCGAAACUGAGGUGCAGUUGCUGGGAAAGGCUGGCCGUCGGCACAAACAAGAAGACCUUCGUGUGCUCUGAUGACUGGAGGUGCUAAGAAGAAGUGGAAAAAGUGAGGCGGGCCCAUGUCCCCGAGCGUGGUCGUGGAUAACUCAGGAUGGUGCAGUUGCAGAGUAAGGCUGGCUGUCGGCAGAGAGAAGAAGACCUUCGCGUUGUCUGAUGACUGGAUGUGCUAAGGAGAACUGGCAAAAGUGGGGCGGGUGCACGUUGCCGAGCGAGGCUGUGGAUAUCUCAGGACGUGUCCCAGCAUGUGCUUGGAUCGAUGAUGACACCCUUGUAUGCAUUCCUUGGAAAAUCUGAACAAAAUGAGUGAGAACACUCUACCGUCUCCUCAUCGAAACUGAGGUCCAGCACGUUUCCUCUCUCGGGAGUAUGGGACAGUUAGGAGUGAGGGCCAACGUCCCCUGCUGACAAACAGGCAAACACCACUAAGGGCUCCAGCAUUGGAGGGGCUCCUGUGUGAGGGUCGACCAUGUCUGCCCAUAAGCUGGGUCAUCUAUGAAUCCCCGGUCCCUGCUAAAAGGCCGUUGAGGGAAUGCAAGAGGGCAGGCUUUCCUGCUAGUCUUCAGGGUCGGAGUGUGUUCUGGUAUAGACCCAGUAAGCUUGCAGCUUGGAGAGGUGAUUUUGGGACAGGAUCACACUUUGUGCAUGCCGCUUCCGAGGUUGUUUAUGGAAGCCAAAAUGAGCAAGCUUCCCUGGUUGGAGCCUGGAGCC
Long non-coding RNA from Balaenoptera musculus (blue whale), 830 nucleotides. RefSeq lists it as uncharacterized. The record is from RefSeq and is a predicted model, not a curated record. Lineage: Eukaryota; Metazoa; Chordata; Mammalia; Artiodactyla; Balaenopteridae. The transcript is spliced from 4 exons.